RNAcentral lists this transfer RNA (73 nucleotides) under Myxococcales bacterium. RNAcentral's name for it is "tRNA-Ile". It matches the Rfam family "tRNA". From Rfam's summary of the family: Transfer RNA (tRNA) molecules are approximately 80 nucleotides in length. Their secondary structure includes four short double-helical elements and three loops (D, anti-codon, and T loops). Further hydrogen bonds mediate the characteristic L-shaped molecular structure. tRNAs have two regions of fundamental functional importance: the anti-codon, which is responsible for specific mRNA codon recognition, and the 3' end, to which the tRNAs corresponding amino acid is attached (by aminoacyl-tRNA synthetases). tRNAs cope with the degeneracy of the genetic code in two manners: having more than one tRNA (with a specific anti-codon) for a particular amino acid; and 'wobble' base-pairing, i.e. permitting non-standard base-pairing at the 3rd anti-codon position. The record is from RNAcentral. Lineage: Bacteria; Pseudomonadati; Myxococcota; Myxococcia; Myxococcales.
GGGCCCUUAGCUCAGUGGUUAGAGCAACCGGCUCAUAACCGGACGGUCCCUGGUUCGAGUCCAGGAGGGCCCA